AGUAGCUAACUUAGAGGAAGAGGAGUGUGAGCACUGCCUAAGUCCGACUGACUGGAGACUAAAGCGGAGCAGCAUUUACUGCUUCAUCAGGGAGGAGCAGAUAUUACCAACUGAAAAAAAAUAACACAAGAUGAGCAAAAACCCACACAUGCACAGGGAGAACAUGCGAACUCCAUGUUCUCCCUGUGCGAACUUGGGAUCUCCUAGCUGCAAGGCAAAAGUGCUAAUCACUGAGUCACUGAAGAACAACUAAAUAUGUGGAGUUUCCUCUAAGUUUUCUAUGUUGACUUAGAGAUAACUUAUUGCUGUGUAUCUGUACCUUCUGUCACGGUCUUGCCCUGGCUCCCUGUCUGCCUUUUCUCUCUCUCUCCUCCUGGCAUCUCUCCUUUGCCCUCUCUCUCGGUCUCACCCCCCUCUGUGCUAUGCUCCUGACUGCGCCGGUGAUCGGGGCUCAUCGACUCCAGCUGUGCAAGGACCGCAGCUGCAUCUACUCGGUCAUCAGCGCCGGAUAAAGACCUGCUCAUCCCUCCAGUCUCUGCCACAUCGUAGCGUCCGCUUCGUCGUGUUCCUUCCACUGGACCGACCGGUCCGUAGCCAGCCUGUCUGCUCUGCCGGUCUUCUUGGCUGCCCCUGUGCCGGUUCCCUUCCCGGCUUUCUCCACGGCACGUCCAGCCGUUUCACUGCGGCACGUCCAGCAGCCGCCGCCGAUCCUCACAGCACAUCCAGCCGCCUCCGACCUCCGCGGCACGUCCAGCAGUGCCAGUGUGCGUCCUCAGGACCGCCGGUUACCCGAGCCUGCCAGCCCCCUCUCCCUCUGUUAGCUAUUUUGAUUUUGUGAGUGUGGUCUGGGCUGUUUAAUUUUGUUUUGAGAGUUCGCCAUGUGUGACAAUAAAAACCUUUGUUCAAACCGG
This is a long non-coding RNA of Amphiprion ocellaris (clown anemonefish), 911 nucleotides long. RefSeq lists it as uncharacterized. The record is from RefSeq and is a predicted model, not a curated record. Lineage: Eukaryota; Metazoa; Chordata; Actinopteri; Pomacentridae. The transcript has 2 exons.